AGAGUUUGAUCCUGGCUCAGAACGAACGCUGGCGGCAUGCCUAACACAUGCAAGUCGAACGAGACCUUCGGGUCUAGUGGCGCACGGGUGCGUAACGCGUGGGAACCUGCCUUUAGGUUCGGGAUAACUCCUCGAAAGGGGUGCUAAUACCGGAUGAUGUCUUCGGACCAAAGAUUUAUCGCCUUUAGAUGGGCCCGCGUUGGAUUAGCUAGUUGGUGAGGUAAAGGCUCACCAAGGCGACGAUCCAUAGCUGGUCUUAGAGGAUGAUCAGCCACACUGGGACUGAGACACGGCCCAGACUCCUACGGGAGGCAGCAGUGGGGAAUAUUGGACAAUGGGCGAAAGCCUGAUCCAGCAAUGCCGCGUGAGUGAUGAAGGCCUUAGGGUUGUAAAGCUCUUUUACCCGGGAUGAUAAUGACAGUACCGGGAGAAUAAGCCCCGGCUAACUCCGUGCCAGCAGCCGCGGUAAUACGGAGGGGGCUAGCGUUGUUCGGAAAUACUGGGCGUAAAGCGAACGUAGGCGGCUUGGCAAGUCAGGGGUGAAAUCCCAGUGCUCAACACUGGAACUGCCUUUGAAACUGCCAGGCUUGAAUCCUGGAGAGGCGAGUGGAAUUCCGAGUGUAGAGGUGAAAUUCGUAGAUAUUCGGAAGAACACCAGUGGCGAAGGCGACUCGCUGGACAGGUAUUGACGCUGAGGUUCGAAAGCGUGGGGAGCAAACAGGAUUAGAUACCCUCGUAGUCC
RNAcentral lists this ribosomal RNA (742 nucleotides) under uncultured bacterium. RNAcentral's name for it is "bacterial SSU rRNA". It matches the Rfam family "Bacterial small subunit ribosomal RNA", at positions 8 to 796 of the family's 1533-position model. The record is from RNAcentral.